GAGGGCAUAGCUCAGUUGUAAAUAAAGCGCAUGCCUGGCAUGCACGAGGUCCUGGGUUCAAUCCCCAGUACCUUUA
This is a transfer RNA of Camelus ferus (Wild Bactrian camel), 76 nucleotides long. It matches the Rfam family "tRNA". Rfam says of the family: Transfer RNA (tRNA) molecules are approximately 80 nucleotides in length. Their secondary structure includes four short double-helical elements and three loops (D, anti-codon, and T loops). The record is from Rfam. Lineage: Eukaryota; Metazoa; Chordata; Mammalia; Artiodactyla; Camelidae.